This 229-nucleotide ribosomal RNA is filed under the name uncultured bacterium. RNAcentral's name for it is "partial 16S ribosomal RNA". It matches the Rfam family "Bacterial small subunit ribosomal RNA", at positions 568 to 796 of the family's 1533-position model. The record is from RNAcentral.
UGCGUAGGCGGAAAAUUAAGUCAGUGGUGAAAUCCUGCAGCUUAACUGUAGAACUGUCAUUGAUACUGAUUUUCUUGAAUAUAGUUGAGGUAGGCGGAAUGUGUAAUGUAGCGGUGAAAUGCUUAGAUAUUACACAGAACACCGACUGCGAAGGCAGCUUACUAAGCUAUUAUUGACGCUGAGGCACGAAAGCGUGGGGAGCGAACAGGAUUAGAUACCCUGGUAGUCC